RNAcentral lists this ribosomal RNA (468 nucleotides) under uncultured bacterium. Its description in RNAcentral is "partial 16S ribosomal RNA". It matches the Rfam family "Bacterial small subunit ribosomal RNA", at positions 28 to 507 of the family's 1533-position model. The record is from RNAcentral.
GACGAACGCUGGCGGCGUGCUUAACACAUGCAAGUCGAACGGAAAGGCCCUGCUUUUGUGGGGUGCUCGAGUGGCGAACGGGUGAGUAACACGUGAGUAACCUGCCCUUGACUUUGGGAUAACUUCAGUAAACUGGGGCUAAUACCUGAUAGGAGCUCCUGCUGCAUGGUGGGGGUUGGAAAGUUUCGGCGGUUGGGGAUGGACUCGCGGCUUAUCAGCUUGUUGGUGGGGUAGUGGCUUACCAAGGCCUUGACGGGUAGCCGGCCUGAGAGGGUGACCGGCCACAAUGGGACUGAGAUACGGCCCAGACUCCUACGGGAGGCAGCAGUGGGGAAUAUUGCACAAUGGGCGGAAGCCUGAUGAAGAAACGCCGCGUGCGGGAUGACGGCCUUCGGGUUGUAAACCGCUUUCGCCUGUGACGAAGCGUGAGUGACGGUAAUGGGUAAAGAAGCACCGGCUAACUACGUG